Molecule: ribosomal RNA, 964 nt
Filed under: human gut metagenome
Description: bacterial LSU rRNA
Rfam family: Bacterial large subunit ribosomal RNA
Source: RNAcentral
CGAAAUUCCUUGUCGGGUAAGUUCCGACCCGCACGAAAGGCGUAAUGAUUUGAGCGCUGUCUCGACAAUGCAUCCGGUGAAAUUGAAGUACCAGUGAAGAUGCUGGUUACCUGCGCCAGGACGGAAAGACCCCAUGGAGCUUUACUCCAGUCUGGUACUGGGACUCGGUAUUGCAUGUACAGGAUAGGUGGGAGGCUAGGAGAUGGUAACGCCAGUUGCCAUGGAGCCGCUGUUGGGAUACCACCCUUGCAGUAUUGGGUUUCUAACCAGCCGCCGUGACCCGGCGGUGGGACAAUGCCAGACGGGGAGUUUGACUGGGGCGGUCGCCUCCGAAAGGGUAUCGGAGGCGCCCAAAGGUUCCCUCAGAAUGGACGGAAACCAUUCGAAGAGUGCAAAGGCAGAAGGGAGCUUGACUGCGACACCGACGGGUGGAGCAGGUACGAAAGUAGGGCUUAGUGAUCCGGUGGUAUUAAGUGGGAAUGCCAUCGCUCAACGGAUAAAAGCUACCCUGGGGAUAACAGGCUUAUCACUCCCAAGAGUUCACAUCGACGGAGUGGUUUGGCACCUCGAUGUCGGCUCAUCGCAUCCUGGGGCUGUAGUAGGUCCCAAGGGUUGGGCUGUUCGCCCAUUAAAGCGGUACGCGAGCUGGGUUCAGAACGUCGUGAGACAGUUCGGUCCCUAUCCGGCGUGGGCGUAGGAUAUCUGAGAGGAGCUGUCCUUAGUACGAGAGGACCGGGAUGGACGGGCCGCUGGUGCAUCGGUUAGACUGCCAAGUCUACGGCCGAGUAGCCAAGCCCGGAAGGGAUAAACGCUGAAGGCAUCUAAGCGUGAAGCCCCCCUUAAGAUGAGAUAUCCCAUUCGAAAGAAGUAAACCCCCUUGAAGACGACGAGGUAGAUAGGGCAGAGGUGGAAGUGUGGCAACACAUGGAGCUGACUGUUACUAAUCGGGUGAGGGCUUGACCAA